CCAAAGGCUCUUUUAAGAGCCGCCCAAAUUCACCUUAAGAGUUUUU
This 46-nucleotide non-coding RNA is filed under the name Xyrichtys novacula (pearly razorfish). It matches the Rfam family "Histone 3' UTR stem-loop". From Rfam's summary of the family: The mRNAs of metazoan histone genes lack a poly-A tail. 3' end processing occurs at a site between a highly conserved stem-loop (modelled by this family) and a purine rich region around 20 nts downstream (the histone downstream element, or HDE). The record is from RNAcentral. Lineage: Eukaryota; Metazoa; Chordata; Actinopteri; Labriformes; Labridae.